AUUGAACGCUGGCGGCAUGCCUUACACAUGCAAGUCGAACGGCAGCACGGGUGCUUGCACCUGGUGGCGAGUGGCGAACGGGUGAGUAAUACAUCGGAACAUGUCCUGUAGCGGGGGAUAGCCCGGCGAAAGCCGGAUUACUACCGCAUACGAUCUACGGAUGAAAGCGGGGGACCUUCGGGCCUCGCGCUUUAGGGUUGGCCGAUGGCUGAUUAGCUAGUUGGUGGGGUAAAGGCCUACCAAGGCGACGGUCAGUAGCUGGUCUGAGAGGACGACCAGCCACACUGGGACUGAGACACGGCCCAGACUCCUACGGGAGGCAGCAGUGGGGAAUGUUGGACAAUGGGCGAAAGCCUGAUCCAGCAAUGCCGCGUGUGUGAAGAAGGCCUUCGGGUUGUAAAGCACUUUUGUCCGGAAAGAAAUCCUUGGCCCUAAUACGGUCGGGGGAUGACGGUACCGGAAGAAUAAGCACCGGCUAACUACGUG
RNAcentral lists this ribosomal RNA (486 nucleotides) under uncultured bacterium. RNAcentral describes it as "partial 16S ribosomal RNA". It matches the Rfam family "Bacterial small subunit ribosomal RNA", at positions 30 to 507 of the family's 1533-position model. The record is from RNAcentral.